This 253-nucleotide ribosomal RNA is filed under the name uncultured bacterium. RNAcentral's name for it is "partial 16S ribosomal RNA". It matches the Rfam family "Bacterial small subunit ribosomal RNA", at positions 524 to 776 of the family's 1533-position model. The record is from RNAcentral.
UACGUAGGGUGCAAGCGUUGUCCGGAAUUAUUGGGCGUAAAGAGCUCGUAGGCGGUCUGUCGCGUCGGCUGUGAAAACCCGGGGCUCAACCCCGGGCCUGCAGUCGAUACGGGCAGACUAGAGUGCGGUAGGGGAGACUGGAAUUCCUGGUGUAGCGGUGAAAUGCGCAGAUAUCGGGAGGAACACCUGUGGCGAAAGCGGCUCACUGGACCGCAACUGACGCUGAGGCGCGAAAGCUAGGGGAGCAAACAGG